AUGAAGUGCUCAAGAAAAAAAAGUGCUGGGAAAAGCAGUGGUCUGAAGAGCAAGUGUGGCCAGGGUCACCUUCGCCCACACAGUGCGGGCCAACGUGCCUUCCCCUUGCGGUGCGACGCCUGCGCGGCACCCAUCUCCCAGGGCUGGAGGGUCCUGGCCAGGAAGCCAUCGCCACCGCGUCCAGGUCAGGAGAAGGCUGCGGACCUGGUUCCGGCGGAGAAAGCAGCCAGCUCCGGGCCCCCAGGCUGCCCACGGAGUCGCUGGAGACUGGAGGAGCUCCUGACCCUCACCACCCAGACUCGAACUCACAGGAACAAGGGCAAGGCCACUGCGGGCCUCUGACAUCCGGUGGCCCCAGGGCUGAUGGAAGAGCUGCCUUUCCGCUGCAGGUCGAGUAGGGGGACGCCGCUGCUUCUGACCGUAUGGCGGACGGCUUCAGUAGCUCUCACGAUGCUGUCAUGGGGGGAAACGCGUUGUGGGUGUUUAGGAUAUGAACCUUUUGUGUGCCACUAGUUCGUAUAAGAUCAACUGCUUAUCAGUAGUUUGCCCGGAUUCGAGGAGCCAGAGAACGUUUUCGUACUGGAUCUGUCCUGCGAGUGGGCUUUGUCCUAUUGUCCCGUUCUGAUUUGGAUUGGGAAGGACAGCUCUUGCUUCUUACUGUACAGGCUUCAAAUAAAAGCAUUUGCUAUUC
Molecule: long non-coding RNA, 691 nt
Filed under: Fukomys damarensis (Damara mole-rat)
Lineage: Eukaryota; Metazoa; Chordata; Mammalia; Rodentia; Bathyergidae
Description: lncRNA (ENSFDAG00000032251.1)
Source: RNAcentral